UUUAAGCUAUGGAGCUAAGUUUAAGCAGGUGUAUAAUGUAUAAAUAAUUUAGUUUUGGGUAAAAUUUAAACUUAAGGUUAUUUUUAAAAUAUACUAGAGAAUUCUAAAUCUAUGGCAUAAACAAGGAUUAGAUACCCUUCUAUACCUAGAUUAAACCAGGCAGGGUAGUAACUAGCUAUGUUCUUCAAACCCAAAGGAUUUGGCGGUGUUUUAUCAAAUUAGAGGAAUCUGUAGGGUAAACGAAACUACGCGUUAUAUCUUACCGUAGUUAAGCUUGUAUACCGUCGUCUCGGUGAAUUUAAAAAAGGUCACCUUAAUAGGCUACAAAAAUGGCAGAUCAAGGUGCAGCUUACUACGGUCGCUAUUGAUUACAAUCUUAAAACUGAUGAAUAAUAAGUUGAAAAUUUAUUUGAAAUUGGAUUUAACAGUAACUCAAGUUUAGUAUACUUGUGUAAAGGAGCAAUAAAACAUGUACAUAUCGCCCGUCACUCUCAUUCGCU
RNAcentral lists this ribosomal RNA (500 nucleotides) under Ligia vitiensis. Its description in RNAcentral is "partial 12S ribosomal RNA". Lineage: Eukaryota; Metazoa; Arthropoda; Malacostraca; Isopoda; Ligiidae. The record is from RNAcentral.